CGCCAUGCAUUGAGUGGAUGCCGCGGCGGGGUAGAGAUGGACGGGAGAGCCGGUCGAAAGGCCAUGGGGAGAGGUGCGAUCGGUGAUCCAUGGAUAUCCAGUGAUCGGGGAACCGGCAAUCAUCGAUGAGCCGCACGCCAUCGAAACACGGGCACAUAGCGAACUGAAACAUCUCACUAGCUAUUGGACCCUCCAUUUUCCAACCGAGGAUCCGUCGGUACGCGGGGAGCGAACGCGGACGCGGGUGUGCGAGCUGGGGCUCGACCGACAAUGACACGACGAAGGGGCUUGAACAUCUCGCCGUAGACGGUGAAAGCCCGGGGCAUGAAACGGUCUAGCCGGUCGAAUGCAGUAAAGCGCGCAAACCGUGCUUGAACCUUAUUAGACCCAUGGGGACCCACCCUCUCACCCACGAAUCCCCCCAUCGACCGAUAGCGCUCAAGUACCGUGAGGGAAUGGUGGACCGGCCCUACGCAAGGGAGCGACUUCGAGAACUGAACCUCGAUGCUGAUCGAUCAGUCGGGACUGGCCGGGGUGCCAAACCACCCGACCUUCAAAAGCACGGUGGGGACCCGACCCACGGCGUACCUUUUGCAUAAUGGGUCAGCGAGUCGUGGGGAAGCAGCGGCUUAAGCCGGUAGGUGUAGGUUCGACCACGGUGGCUGUGGUCCCGCCGGUCCCCGUCUAACCCGAACCCGAUUGAUCUAGCCAUCCGCAGGUUGAUGGGGGCGUACAGCCCAAUCGUCGGAAGACCGCACCCCGGCAUGUGGCAGAAUGCGGGGAUGACGGGUGGCUAGGGGUGAAAGGCCAACCAAGAUCGGAGAUAGCUGGUUUUCCGCGAAAUCUAUUUAUGUAGAGCGCCGAUGCUACGUUGGCCCGGGGUAGAGCACCGGCGGGGCACGGCUGGCCAUUCCCGAGCGCCACCGUGCCCGUGGCAACACCGAAUACGGGCCGCCUCGCGGAUCCGUCCGUGCAGACAGAGUCUGGGUGCGAAGAUCCGGGCUCGAAAGGGGAAUAGCCCAGAUCGUCCGCUAAGGUCCCGAAGCGAUCACUGCGUGGGGAUACACGAGAGUGAAGGGCGUGAUCCGGCGAUGACCCCCAGCGGUGGGCUUGGAAGCAGCCAUCCCGUAAGAGAAAGCGUACUGGCUCACUGGGAGAGCGGGUCCGACCGAGGAUGAUCGGGGCGGAAGUGAGGAUCACCGAAGCGACGGGACCAACCACGAUCGAGAGCAGAGCCGGCCGCCGUGCCGGCGCGCAUCGAGUAGUGUCCGUAGCGGAACGUUCUGUUCGCCUACCCCCGGAUGACCGGGCGGGUGGAUCGCACAGAAGUGAGAAUGCUGACAUGAGUAAUGAUAAAUGGAGAGUGAAACUCGCAUCGCCAGCAGUUGCCGGGUUUCCGCGUGCAAUGGAACUACGCGGGGUUACUCGGCCCCCGAGAGGCGCCGAUCGGGCCCACGAUGGGGACGCCAACGCCAAGGAGCCAAGCGAGAACGUCGUAUCGACUGCCGCGACCGGAGGGGGUUCGAUCGAUGGGCACGGUGGAGCGGGGAACCGCCCGUUCCCCCUUUCGGCACGGGAUCCGCGGGCAGAGCGGACACUUCGGAAAGGAAGGGGGCCAGUCAUGGUCGAGCAGCACCGGUCACCGCUCCCCGACGAUCGCUAUGCACGGCCGGUGAUCCACAACCCCUGGGCGGCUAUCGGAUCGUCUCCAAACCCAUCGUGGUCCCCGCCCCGGGUGUUGGGGAGCGGGCUCUCCACAUCCCCCCCUCUCACGUAAACCCGGUGUACCGCCCCGACGUAUUCGCCGUAACUGAACCCGACACUGGGUUACUGGUGAAGGACACUGAGGCGCGUGAGAACCAUGCUGAAGGAACUAGGCAAAAUGACCCCGUAACCUCGGGAGAAGGGGGUUCCACGGGAAUGGACCGGAGGGGGGCACGGAACCGGGGGUAGCGACUGUUUAUUAAAAACACAGGACUCUGCGAAGUGCGAACACGACGUAUAGAGUCUGAAACUUGCCCGGUGCCGGAAGGUGAAGAGGAGAGGUUACGCAGCCUCGAAUCGAAUUCCCGGUAAACGGCGGCAGUAACUCUAACUGUCCUAAGGUAGCGAAAUUCAUUGUCGCAUAAGUAGCGACCUGCACGAAUAGUGUAACGACUGCCCCGCUGUCUCCAGCAUGGGCCCAAUGAAAUUGACCUCUCCGUGAAGAUGCGGAUUGCCCACGGCUAGACGGUAAGACCCCGUGCACCUUUACUAUAGCUUUGCACGGGCACCAUGGUUCGACCGCCGAGCAUAGGUGGGAUGGGUUACCGAUCGUGAAAUACCACUCCAGCGUGAUCCAGUGUGCCAAACUCGCAUCCCCACCCGGGAUGGGCGGACCCGGCAUGGUGGGUAGUUUCUCUGGGGCGGAUGCCCCCCAAAGAGUAACGGGGGCGCGCACACGGCGGGCUGGACCGAAUCCGGGCUGGGUUGUGCAGCGCACGGGUAUAAGCCCGCCUGACUGUGAGACCAACCGGUCGAACAGAGACGCAAGUCGGCCCGAGUGAUCCGGGAGCCCGGUGUGGAAUGGCUCCCGCUCGACGGAUCAAAGGUACGCCGGGGAUAACAGGCUGAUGACUCCCCAGAGCUCUGAUCGACGGAUUCGCUUGGCACCUCGAUGUCGACUCAUCACCUCCUGGGGUGGGAGCCGGCCCCAAGGGUUCGGUUGUUCGCCGAUUUAAGUGGUACGUGAGUUGGGUUUAGAACGUCGUGAGACAGUUCGGUUUCUAUCUACCGAGGGAUCGGAUCGAGAACUGCCAGAUAAGCCCCCCAGUACGAGAGGACGGGGAGCGUGCAACCCCUGGUGUACCGGUUGUACGGCCGAGUGCAGCGCCGGGUGGCUACGUUGGUCCGGACAAACGGCUGAAGGCAUAUAAGCCGGAAGUCACUCUAAAGACCGGUUCUCCGGCUGAUGGGUGGGAGAGCACCACUUCGAUGGGCGAGAGGUGUGGCCACCGCAACGUGAAUAAGCCGACUCGUCCCAAGCAGACCGAACCCGGUGCU
RNAcentral lists this ribosomal RNA (3042 nucleotides) under Selaginella bryopteris. RNAcentral describes it as "bacterial LSU rRNA". It matches the Rfam family "Bacterial large subunit ribosomal RNA". Lineage: Eukaryota; Viridiplantae; Streptophyta; Lycopodiopsida; Selaginellales; Selaginellaceae. The record is from RNAcentral.